AGGUAUCUGCGGUGAGUGUAAUUGCUGUGGGAAGGAAGGAGAGCCACAGUGCUGUGAAUGCUGGAUUGGAUUUGCUGAAUGCUGCAACUGUUGUCGAUCACCCAACAUUGAGUCAUGUUUGGAUUCGGUGUGCCCUCAGAGAAGGAAAUGCUGUCAGAGCAUGGACUUUGCUGAUAUUGUGACAUGUCAGUGCUGUGGUGAAGGAGGAUGCUGCGGUGAAAAUGAACAAUGUUGUGAUUGUGGAAACUGUGGCUGCAACUGCAAUUGUAACUGCGAUGAAUUGAACUGCUUAUGCUGUCAGAUCAGUCUCAAAGAUGCAGCUCCACCACUAGAUGAUGACUAAAAAUCAAACACACAAAACUAAUAAUUUUAUGGUGUUCAAUAAAAAAAA
This 391-nucleotide unclassified non-coding RNA is filed under the name Lingula anatina. Its description in RNAcentral is "keratin-associated protein 5-5, transcript variant X3". Lineage: Eukaryota; Metazoa; Brachiopoda; Lingulata; Lingulida; Lingulidae. The record is from RNAcentral.